RNAcentral lists this ribosomal RNA (446 nucleotides) under uncultured bacterium. RNAcentral's name for it is "partial 16S ribosomal RNA". It matches the Rfam family "Bacterial small subunit ribosomal RNA", at positions 338 to 795 of the family's 1533-position model. The record is from RNAcentral.
CCUACGGGUGGCUGCAGUCGAGAAUCAUUCACAAUGGGGGAAACCCUGAUGGUGCGACGCCGCGUGGGGGAAUGAAGGUCUUCGGAUUGUAAACCCCUGUCAUGUGGGAGCAAAUUAAAAAGAUAGUACCACAAGAGGAAGAGACGGCUAACUCUGUGCCAGCAGCCGCGGUAAUACAGAGGUCUCAAGCGUUGUUCGGAAUCACGGGGCGUAAGGCGUGCGUAGGCUGUUUCGUAAGUCGUGUGUGAAAGGCGCGGGCUCAACCCGCGGACGGCACAUGAUACUGCGAGACUAGAGUAAUGGAGGGGGAACCGGAAUUCUCGGUGUAGCAGUGAAAUGCGUAGAUAUCGAGAGGAACACUCGUGGCGAAGGCGGGUUCCUGGACAUUAACUGACGCUGAGGCACGAAGGCCAGGGGAGCGAAAGGGAUUAGAUACCCGAGUAGUC